Molecule: microRNA precursor, 72 nt
Organism: Camelus ferus (Wild Bactrian camel)
Lineage: Eukaryota; Metazoa; Chordata; Mammalia; Artiodactyla; Camelidae
Source: Rfam
UUCAAAAGGUAGAUUUUCCUUCUGUGGUUACAUGCUUGCUAGCUAAUCACAGAGGAGAAUCCGCAUUUUCAG